RNAcentral lists this long non-coding RNA (1391 nucleotides) under Nicotiana tabacum (common tobacco). RNAcentral describes it as "long non-coding RNA (NTAB_LNC000158)". Lineage: Eukaryota; Viridiplantae; Streptophyta; Magnoliopsida; Solanales; Solanaceae. The record is from RNAcentral.
GCGGCGUAAUCUACACAACAUUAGAAGGUGAAACAACAAGUCUCACGAUUAUUGGCACUCUUGAUGAAUAAACUGACCUAUAUAAACAAUUCACAAAGUAAUUCACAGAGAUUUUCUUCUUUAUUAAUAUGAAUUGGAUGCAACAUGACCACUUUAAUAAUUAUAAUAAAGACAUUAAAUCCAGAUUCAAUUCUCAAAGGUAAGGCCACAAACCAUAACUUUUCCGCCAUAAUAGAACAAUCUGCAAGGUAUUUUCUGGCCUUGUACUCUCUCCAUACUUCUUGUGCGUAAACUGACGACUCAGUGAACACGUCUUCUCCAAGAAUGAAACUCUAUAACUUCUAUAAGUUUGGCAAGUCAGAAUAAUGAAGUGUAAUUACUUGAGUUCAUAGUCAUUACAAAUUAUUUGCAAUGACUUCCAUCUACCUAUCCAUCCUUCUUUCCAUCUUCUGUCGACAUAUACUUAGAUCAAAGAUAGAAGUAAAAAGGCAAGUGAAAAGUAACUUGAUAAACACAAAAUAAGACAGUUGAAUUUGAAACUUGAAAACCGAAACUUAUGACCAUUCAGAAUAUCAAUGAGCACUUGCAUGGUAAAACUCGAUAAGUAAAUCUCUGUUGGCAAAAGGAAAUUGCAUGCAAUAGAAAAAAGUGCAUAAAUGGAAAUUAGAGAAAGUCACAUAUAAAAGAACCAAGUGUAAGAGAAAAAAAAACUCCUUGAAUGGUUAUUCCCAAACUAAAAGUUGCAAAUUCCAUAUAAGAAAUUUGCUAUUUUUUUUUUUGUGUAAUUCGAAAAACAUAGUUAGUCCUUUCUACAACUUCUCUUUGUCAUAAAACUUCUCUUUCUCAACAUAGUUCGUACUAAUUUAAUAUGUCAAUAUAUAGAGGACCAACGUAUAUUCAACAACAUAUUUCGAACAGUAAUUUUGUCACUUAUGUUGAUAUUAGUUUAUAUGCAAGCUCAAUAACAUAUUCACACCUUUUAUCUACAUCUCUAACCAGCAGUCCUAAACCAACCUGAAGCCUAAAGUCAAUAGAUACUCUUCUUAUUAUUCAACGUAAAAGAGACACAUAUAACCCUCUUCAUUUCAACAGGGGGGAAGAAUAAUGAAAAUAAAUGAGAUAAAGCAUUACCUCCGUCUUUGAUGCACAAAAUGUCCACUUCAGGUGUUCAACAUAUGAUCCCUUACAUUACCCCUGCAACAUCUGAUGAAAGAAUCAUCUUUCAGGCUGCUCUGUAGGUACUUGUUUGUGCCCUUUCUUGUGAUCUGUAAAAGUCUCUAUUGUAUUGCACGAUUCAUUAACUUCAUGCAUUUUGAUCCUUCUUUUUGUCUCCAACAAAUCAGAACGUCUUCACUAUUCCCUCCUUCCCUCCCUAGAAUGGAUCAAUGGAU